UGGGGAAUAUUGGACAAUGGGGGAAACCCUGAUCCAGCCAUGCCGCGUGAAUGAUGAAGGCCUUCGGGUUGUAAAGUUCUUUUGGUGGGGACGAUGAUGACGGUACCCACAGAAUAAGCUCCGGCUAACUUCGUGCCAGCAGCCGCGGUAAUACGAAGGGGGCUAGCGUUGUUCGGAAUUACUGGGCGUAAAGGGCGCGUAGGCGGUUUUGUAAGUUGGGUGUGAAAGCCCAGGGCUCAACCCUGGAACUGCACUCAAAACUAUUUUACUUGAAUUCGGUAGAGGAUGGUGGAAUUCCCAGUGUAGAGGUGAAAUUCGUAGAUAUUGGGAAGAAUAUCCGUGGCGAAGGCGGCCAUCUGGACCGACAUUGACGCUGAGGCGCGAAAGCGUGGGGAUCAAACAGG
This 404-nucleotide ribosomal RNA is filed under the name uncultured bacterium. RNAcentral's name for it is "bacterial SSU rRNA". It matches the Rfam family "Bacterial small subunit ribosomal RNA", at positions 355 to 776 of the family's 1533-position model. The record is from RNAcentral.